UGAACGCUAGCGGCAGGCUUAAUACAUGCAAGUCGAGGGCCUAGCAAUAGGACCGGCGAACGGGUGCGUAACGCGUAUGCAACCUACCUAUAUCAGGGGGACAGCCCUAGGAAACUGGGAUUAAUACCGCAUAAUAAAUGACUUCGCAUGGGGUUAUUUUGAAAGAUUUAUCGGAUAUAGAUGGGCAUGCGUAGGAUUAGCUAGUUGGUAAGGUAACGGCUUACCAAGGCAACGAUCCUUAGGGGCUCUGAGAGGAGUAACCCCCACACUGGUACUGAGGCACGGACCAGACUCCUACGGGAGGCAGCAGUGAGUAAUAUUGGACAAUGGGCGCAAGCCUGAUCCAGCCAUGCCGCGUGCAGGAUGACGGUCCUAUGGAUUGUAAACUGCUUUUGCACAGGAAGAACACUCGGACGUGUCCGAGCUUGACGGUACUGUGAGAAUAAGGAUCGGCUAACUCCGUGCCAGCAGCCGCGGUA
This 479-nucleotide ribosomal RNA is filed under the name uncultured bacterium. Its description in RNAcentral is "bacterial SSU rRNA". It matches the Rfam family "Bacterial small subunit ribosomal RNA", at positions 30 to 522 of the family's 1533-position model. The record is from RNAcentral.